RNAcentral lists this transfer RNA (74 nucleotides) under Candidatus Campbellbacteria bacterium CG11_big_fil_rev_8_21_14_0_20_44_21. RNAcentral's name for it is "tRNA-Pro". It matches the Rfam family "tRNA". From Rfam's summary of the family: Transfer RNA (tRNA) molecules are approximately 80 nucleotides in length. The record is from RNAcentral. Lineage: Bacteria; Candidatus Campbelliibacteriota. RNAcentral also lists the same sequence under 1 other name.
CGGGAUGUAGUACAGCGGUAGUAUGCGCGCAUGGGGUGCGUGUGACCCGGGUUCAACUCCCGGCAUCCCGACCA